Molecule: ribosomal RNA, 251 nt
Filed under: uncultured bacterium
Lineage: Bacteria
Description: partial 16S ribosomal RNA
Rfam family: Bacterial small subunit ribosomal RNA
Source: RNAcentral
GAUCCUGGCUCAGGAUGAACGCUGGCGGCAUGCCUAAUACAUGCAAGUCGAACGGACCGAAGGGAAAGCUUGCUUUUCCUGAAGUCAGUGGCGAACGGGUGAGUAACACGUAGGUAACCAGCCCAUGUGCCCGGGACAACGCCUGGAAACGGGUGCUAAAACCGGAUAGGUAGAGAGAUCGCAUGAACUUUCUAUUAAAGGGGCUACGGCCCUGAACAUGGAUGGACCUGCGGUGCAUUAGCUAGUUGGUG